Molecule: ribosomal RNA, 563 nt
Filed under: uncultured bacterium
Lineage: Bacteria
Description: partial 16S ribosomal RNA
Rfam family: Bacterial small subunit ribosomal RNA
Source: RNAcentral
UGGGGAAUAUUGGACAAUGGGGGGCAACCCUGAUCCAGCCAUGCCGCGUGAGUGAUGAAGGCCUUCGGGUUGUAAAGCUCUUUUGGCGGGGACGAUGAUGACGGUACCCGCAGAAUAAGCCCCGGCUAACUUCGUGCCAGCAGCCGCGGUAAGACGAAGGGGGCUAGCGUUGUUCGGAAUUACUGGGCGUAAAGCGAGUGUAGGCGGUUGCCGUAGUCAGGUGUGAAAGCCUUGAGCUCAACUCAAGAAAUGCACUUGAUACUGGGUGACUAGAGGACCGGAGAGGAUAGUGGAAUUCCCAGUGUAGUGGUGAAAUACGUAGAGAUUGGGAAGAACACCAGUGGCGAAGGCGGCUAUCUGGACGGUUACUGACGCUAAGACUCGAAAGCGUGGGGAGCAAACAGGAUUAGAUACCCCUGGUAGUCCACGCCGUAAACGAUGGGUGCUAGACGUUGGCGAGCUUGCUCGUCAGUGUCGCAGCCAACGCGUUAAGCACCCCGCCUGGGGAGUACGGCCGCAAGGGUUGAAANUCAAAUGAUUGACGGGGUCAUAGCUGUUUCCCU